GGGUGUGAUCAUACCAGUACUAAUGCACCAGAUCCCAUAAGAACUUCGCUGUCAAGCAUGCUUGGGCGAGAGUAGUACUAGUAUGGGUGACCUCCUGGGAAGUACUCGUGUUGCACCCC
Ribosomal RNA from Macadamia integrifolia, 119 nucleotides. The record is from RefSeq and is a predicted model, not a curated record. Lineage: Eukaryota; Viridiplantae; Streptophyta; Magnoliopsida; Proteales; Proteaceae.